CAGGUUGAUAGGUUCGAGGUGGAAGCAUGGUGACAUGUGGAGCUGACGAAUACUAAUAGAUCGAGGACUUAACCAUAUAA
Molecule: ribosomal RNA, 80 nt
Filed under: Bacillus anthracis (anthrax bacterium)
Lineage: Bacteria; Bacillati; Bacillota; Bacilli; Caryophanales; Bacillaceae
Description: partial 23S ribosomal RNA
Source: RNAcentral